Molecule: long non-coding RNA, 103 nt
Organism: Melanotaenia boesemani (Boeseman's rainbowfish)
Lineage: Eukaryota; Metazoa; Chordata; Actinopteri; Atheriniformes; Melanotaeniidae
Exons: 3
Source: RefSeq, a predicted model, not a curated record
AAAUCUGAUUUAGACUAGGGUUGUCACGAUACCAGAAAUUCGGUAGUCGAUACCAAUACCAGUGAAGUUACACAAUACUCGAUACCUAAUUCGAUACCACGGC